GAGUUUGAUCAUGGCUCAGAACGAACGCUGGCGGCGUGCUUAACACAUGCAAGUCGAACGAGAAAGUUCCUUCGGGAACGAGUAAAGUGGCGCACGGGUGAGUAAUACAUGGGUAAUCUACCUUCAAGUCGAGGAUAACUCCGCGAAAGUGGAGCUAAUACUGGAUAAGACCACAUCUCGUACGCGAGAAGGGGUAAAGGAUGACCUCUACAUGUAAGUUGUUGCUUGAAGAUGAGCUCAUGCACUAUUAGCUUGUUGGUGGGGUAAUGGCCUACCAAGGCUACGAUAGUUAGCCAACCUUAGAGGGUGAUUGGCCACACUGGAACUGAGAUACGGUCCAGACUCCUACGGGAGGCAGCAGUGAGGAAUAUUGCGCAAUGGGGGAAACCCUGACGCAGCAACGCCGUGUGAGUGAAGGAAGGCUCCUCGGUCGUAAAAAUCUGUCAGAUAAGAAGAAUCUUUCCAAGGGUAAAUAGCUUCUGAAGUUGACUGUACUAUCAGAGGAAGCCCCGGCUAACUCCGUGCCAGCAGCCGCGGUAAUACGGAGGGGGCAAGCGUUGUUCGGAAUUAUUGGGCGUAAAGGGCGUGUAGGUGGUUUUGUAAGUCAGACGUGAAAGCCCUCUGCUUAACAGAGGAAGUGCGUUUGAAACUGCAUUACUUGAGUACGAGAGAGGAGAGUGGAAUUUCCAGUGUAGCGGUGAAAUGCGUAGAUAUUGGAAAGAACACCGGUGGCGAAGGCGGCUCUCUGGCUCGUUACUGACACUGAAACGCGAAAGCUAGGGGAGCAAACGGGAUUAGAUACCCCGGUAGUCCUAGCCGUAAACGAUGGGCACUAGGUGUAGAGGGUAUCGACUCCUUCUGUGCCGCAGCAAACGCAUUAAGUGCCCCGCCUGGGGAGUACGGUCGCAAGGCUGAAACUCAAAGGAAUUGACGGGGGCCCGCACAAGCGGUGGAGCAUGUGGUUCAAUUCGACGCAACGCGAAAAACCUUACCUGGACUUGACAUCCCGAUGACCGAUACAGAAAUGUAUCUUUUCUUCGGAACAUCGGGACAGGUGCUGCAUGGCUGUCGUCAGCUCGUGUCGUGAGAUGUUGGGUUAAGUUCCGCAACGAGCGCAACCCUUGCCCUUAUUUGCCAACGGAUAAUGCCGGGAACUAUAAGGGAACUGUCGGUGAUAAACCGGAGGAAGGUGGGGAUGACGUCAAGUCCUCAUGGCCUUUAUGUCCAGGGCUACACACGUGCUACAAUGGCCUGUAUAAAGAGUUGCAAAGUCGCGAGACGGAGCCAAUCUCAAAAAACAGGUCUCAGUUCGGAUUGGAGUCUGCAACUCGACUCCAUGAAGCCGGAAUCGCUAGUAAUCGUGGAUCAGCAUGCCACGGUGAAUAUGUUCUCGGGCCUUGCACACAC
RNAcentral lists this ribosomal RNA (1407 nucleotides) under uncultured bacterium. RNAcentral describes it as "bacterial SSU rRNA". It matches the Rfam family "Bacterial small subunit ribosomal RNA". The record is from RNAcentral.